Molecule: ribosomal RNA, 1351 nt
Filed under: uncultured bacterium
Lineage: Bacteria
Description: bacterial SSU rRNA
Rfam family: Bacterial small subunit ribosomal RNA
Source: RNAcentral
GACGAACACUUUUGGCGUGCUUAACACAUGCAAGUCGAACGGAAAGGCCCUGCUUUUGUGGGGUGCUCGAGUGGCAAACGGGUGAGAUAACACGUGAGUAACCUGCCCUUGACUUUGGGAUAACGUCAGGAAACUGGCGCUAAUACCGGAUAGGAGCUCCUGCUGCAUGGUGGGGGUUGGAAAGUUUCGAGCGGAUGGGGAUGGACUCUCGGCUUAUCAGCUAGUUGGUGGGGUAGUGGCUUACCAAGGCUUUGACAGGUAGCCGGCCUGAGAGGGUGACCCGCCACAUUGGAACUGAGAUACCGCCCCAGACUCGUACGGGAGGCAGCAGUGGGGAAUAUUGCACAAUGGGCGGAAGCGUGAUGCAGCAACGCCGCGUGCGGGAUGACGGCCUUCGGGUUGUAAACCGCUUUCGCCAGUGACGAAGCGUGAGUGACGGUAAUGGGUAAAGAAGCACCGGCUAACUACGUGCCAGCAGCCGCGCGUGAUACGUAGGGUGCGAGCGUUGUCCGGAUUUAUUGGGCGUAAAGGGCUCGUAGGUGGUUGAUCGCGUCGGAAGUGUAAUCUUGGGGCUUAACCCUGAGCGUGCUUUCGAUACGGGUUGACUUGAGGAAGGUAGGGGAGAAUGGAAUUCCUGGUGGAGCGGUGGAAUGCGCAGAUAUCAGGAGGAACACCAGUGGCGAAGGCGGUUCUCUGGGCCUUUCCUGACGCUGAGGAGCGAAAGCGUGGGGAGCGAACAGGCUUAGAUAUCCUGGUAGUCCACGCUGUAAACGGUGGGUACUAGGUGUGGGGUCCAUUCCACGGGUUCCGUGCCGUAGCUAACGCUUUAAGUACCCCGCCUGGGGAGUACGGCCGCAAGGCUAAAACUCAAAGGAAUUGACGGGGCCCCGCACAAGCGGCGGAGCAUGCGGAUUAAUCCGAUGCAACGCGUAGAACCUUACCUGGGUUUGAUCAUGGAUCGGGAGUGCUCAGAGAUGGGUGUGCCUCUUUUGGGGUCGGUUCACAGGUGGUGCAUGGCUGUCGUCAGCUCGUGUCGUGAGAUGUUGGGUUAAGUCCUGCAACGAGCGCAACCGUUGUUCACUGUCGCCAGCACGUUAUGGUGGGGCCUCAGUGGAGACCGCCGGGGUCAACUCGGAGGAAGGUGGGGAGGACGUCAAGUCAUCAUGCCCCUUAUGUCCAGGGCUUCACGCAUGCUACAAUGGCUGGUACAGAGAGUGGCGAGCCUGUGAGGGUGAGCGAAUCUCGGAAAGCCGGUCUCAGUUCGGAUUGGGGUGUGCAACUCGACCUCAUGAAGUCGGAGUCGAUAGUAAUCGCAGAUCAGCAACGGUGCGGUGAAUAAGUUCCCGGGGCG